GAUGAACGCUGGCGGCGUGCCUAAUACAUGCCAGUCGAGCGAACGGACGAGAAGCUUGCUUCUCUGAUGUUAGCGGCGGACGGGUGAGUAACACGUGGAUAACCUACCUAUAAGACUGGGAUAACUUCGGGAAACCGUAGCUAAUACCGGAUAAUAUUUUGAACCGCAUGGUUCAAAAGUGAAAGACGGUCUUGCUGUCACUUAUAGAUGGAUCCGCGCUGCAUUAGCUAGUUGGUAAGGUAACGGCUUACCAAGGCAACGAUGCAUAGCCGACCUGAGAGGGUGAUAGGCCACACUGGAACUGAGACACGGUCCAGACUCCUACGGGAGGCAGCAGUAGGGAAUCGGCCGCAAUGGGCGAAAGCCUGACGGAGCAACGCCGCGUGAGUGAUGAAGGUCUUCGGAUCGUAAAACUCUGUUAUUAGGGAAGAACAUAUGUGGAAGUAACUGUGCACAGCUUGACGGUACCUAAUCAGAAAGCCACGGCUAACUACGUG
This 497-nucleotide ribosomal RNA is filed under the name uncultured bacterium. Its description in RNAcentral is "partial 16S ribosomal RNA". It matches the Rfam family "Bacterial small subunit ribosomal RNA", at positions 28 to 507 of the family's 1533-position model. The record is from RNAcentral.